This 524-nucleotide ribosomal RNA is filed under the name uncultured bacterium. RNAcentral describes it as "bacterial SSU rRNA". It matches the Rfam family "Bacterial small subunit ribosomal RNA", at positions 8 to 526 of the family's 1533-position model. The record is from RNAcentral.
AGAGUUUGAUCCUGGCUCAGAUUGAACGCUGGCGGCAGGCCUAACACAUGCAAGUCGAGCGGUAACAGAGAGUAGCUUGCUACUUUGCUGACGAGCGGCGGACGGGUGAGUAAUGCUUGGGAACAUGCCUUGAGGUGGGGGACAACAGUUGGAAACGACUGCUAAUACCGCAUAAUGUCUACGGACCAAAGGGGGCUUCGGCUCUCGCCUUUAGAUUGGCCCAAGUGGGAUUAGCUAGUUGGUGAGGUAAUGGCUCACCAAGGCGACGAUCCCUAGCUGGUUUGAGAGGAUGAUCAGCCACACUGGGACUGAGACACGGCCCAGACUCCUACGGGAGGCAGCAGUGGGGAAUAUUGCACAAUGGGCGCAAGCCUGAUGCAGCCAUGCCGCGUGUGUGGAGAAGGCCUUCGGGUUGUAAAGCACUUUCAGUCAGGAGGAAAGGUUAGUAGUUAAUACCUGCUAGCUGUGACGUUACUGACAGAAGAAGCACCGGCUAACUCCGUGCCAGCAGCCGCGGUAAUAAU